GUGAACGCUGGCGGUAGGCCUAACACAUGCCAGUCGCACGGCAGCACAGUAAGAGCUUGCUCUUACGGGUGGCGAGUGGCGGACGGGUGAGGAAUACAUCGGAAUCUACUUUUUCGUGGGGGAUAACGUAGGGAAACUUACGCUAAUACCGCAUACGACCUACGGGUGAAAGCAGGGGAUCUUCGGACCUUGCGCGAUUGAAUGAGCCGAUGUCGGAUUAGCUAGUUGGCGGGGUAAAGGCCCACCAAGGCGACGACCCGUAGCUGGUCUGAGAGGAUGAUCAGCGACACUGGAACUGAGACGCGGUCCAGAGUCCUACGGGAGGCAGCAGUGGGGAAUAUUGGACGAUGGGCGCAAGCCUGAUCCAGCCAUACCGCGUGGGUGAAGAAGGCCUUCGUGUUGGAAAGCCGUUUUGUUGGUGAAGAAAAGUAGCAGGUUAAUACCCCGCUGUUCUGACGGUACCCAAAGAAUAAGCACCGGCUAACUUCGUG
Molecule: ribosomal RNA, 491 nt
Filed under: uncultured bacterium
Lineage: Bacteria
Description: partial 16S ribosomal RNA
Rfam family: Bacterial small subunit ribosomal RNA
Source: RNAcentral